UGAGGAAUAUUGCGCAAUGGGGGCAACCCUGACGCAGCAACGCCGCGUGAGUGAAGAAGGUUUUCGGAUUGUAAACCUCUGUCCUAGGGGACGAAGAAAGUGACGGUACCCUAGGAGGAAGCCCCGGCUAACUACGUGCCAGCAGCCGCGGUAAUACGUAGGGGGCAAGCGUUGUCCGGAAUUACUGGGCGUAAAGGGUGCGUAGGCGGUAUGGUAAGUUAGAUGUGAAAUCCCCGGGCUUAACUCGGGAGUUGCAUUUAAAACUGUCAGACUAGAGUGCAGGAGAGGAAAGCGGAAUUCCUAGUGUAGCGGUGAAAUGCGUAGAUAUUAGGAGGAACACCAGUGGCGAAGGCGGCUUUCUGGACUGUAACUGACGCUGAGGCACGAAAGCGUGGGGAGCGAACA
Molecule: ribosomal RNA, 405 nt
Filed under: uncultured prokaryote
Description: bacterial SSU rRNA
Rfam family: Bacterial small subunit ribosomal RNA
Source: RNAcentral